Molecule: ribosomal RNA, 287 nt
Filed under: Stenotrophomonas maltophilia
Lineage: Bacteria; Pseudomonadati; Pseudomonadota; Gammaproteobacteria; Lysobacterales; Lysobacteraceae
Description: partial 16S ribosomal RNA
Rfam family: Bacterial small subunit ribosomal RNA
Source: RNAcentral
CCCGCAACGAGCGCAACCCUUGUCCUUAGUUGCCAGCACGUAAUGGUGGGAACUCUAAGGAGACCGCCGGUGACAAACCUGAGGAAGGUGGGGAUGACGUCUAGUCAUCAUGGCCCUUACGGCCAGGGCUACACACGUACUACUAUGGUUGGGACAGAGGGCUGCACGCCGGCGACUGUUAGCCAAUCCCAGAAACCCUAUCUCAGUCCGGAUUGGAGUCUGCAACUCGACUCCGUGAAGUCGGAAUCGCUGUAAUCGCAUAUCAGCAUUGCUGCGGUGAAUACGUU